UACGGAGGGUGCAAGCGUUGUCCGGAUUUAUUGGGUUUAAAGGGUGCGUAGGCGGCCUUAUAAGUCAGUGGUGAAAGCCCAUCGCUCAACGAUGGAACUGCCAUUGAUACUGUAAGGCUUGAGUACAGACGAGGUAGGCGGAAUUGAUGGUGUAGCGGUGAAAUGCAUAGAUACCAUCAAGAACACCGAUUGCGUAGGCAGCUUACUAGGCUGUAACUGACGCUGAGGCACGAAAGUGUGGGGAUCAAACAGG
This 253-nucleotide ribosomal RNA is filed under the name uncultured bacterium. RNAcentral describes it as "partial 16S ribosomal RNA". It matches the Rfam family "Bacterial small subunit ribosomal RNA", at positions 524 to 776 of the family's 1533-position model. The record is from RNAcentral.